AACGAACGCUGGCGGCAGGCCUAACACAUGCAAGUCGAGCGCCCCGCAAGGGGAGCGGCGGACGGGUGAGUAACGCGUGGGAAUAUGCCCUUUGCUACGGAAUAGUCUCGGGAAACUGGGGGUAAUACCGUAUACGCCCUUUGGGGGAAAGAUUUAUCGGCGAAGGAUUAGCCCGCGUUGGAUUAGGUAGUUGGUGGGGUAAUGGCCUACCAAGCCGACGAUCCAUAGCUGGUUUGAGGGGAUGAUCAGCCACACUGGGACUGAGACACGGCCCAGACUCCUACGGGAGGCAGCAGUGGGGAAUCUUAGACAAUGGGGGCAACCCUGAUCGAGCCAUGCCGCGUGAGUGAUGAAGGCCUUAGGGUUGUAAAGCUCUUUCAGCUGGGAAGAUAAUGACGGUACCAGCAGAAGAAGCCCCGGCUAACUCCGUG
RNAcentral lists this ribosomal RNA (431 nucleotides) under uncultured bacterium. Its description in RNAcentral is "partial 16S ribosomal RNA". It matches the Rfam family "Bacterial small subunit ribosomal RNA", at positions 29 to 507 of the family's 1533-position model. The record is from RNAcentral.